RNAcentral lists this ribosomal RNA (464 nucleotides) under uncultured bacterium. RNAcentral describes it as "partial 16S ribosomal RNA". It matches the Rfam family "Bacterial small subunit ribosomal RNA", at positions 339 to 795 of the family's 1533-position model. The record is from RNAcentral.
CUACGGGGCGCUGCAGUGGGGAAUAUUGGACAAUGGGGGCAACCCUGAUCCAGCCAUGCCGCGUGUGUGAAGAAGGCCUUUUGGUUGUAAAGCACUUUAAGCAGUGAAGAAGACCUAACGGUUAAUACCCGUUAGCGAUGACAUUAGCUGCAGAAUAAGCACCGGCUAACGCUGUGCCAGCAGCCGCGGUAAUACAGAGGGUGCAAGCGUUAAUCGGAAUUACUGGGCGUAAAGCGAGCGUAGGUGGCUUGAUAAGUCAGAUGUGAAAUCCCCGGGCUUAACCUGGGAACUGCAUCUGAUACUGUUAAGCUAGAGUAGGUGAGAGGGAAGUAGAAUUCCAGGUGUAGCGGUGAAAUGCGUAGAGAUCUGGAGGAAUACCGAUGGCGAAGGCAGCUUCCUGGCAUCAUACUGACACUGAGGCUCGAAAGCGUGGGUAGCAAACAGGAUUAGAUACCCCUGUAGUC